GGGAAAUAGCCUAGUGGGUAGAGCACCCGUCUCUGACCCACCAGGUCCGGGGUUCGACUCUU
This 62-nucleotide transfer RNA is filed under the name Oxyrrhis marina. The record is from RNAcentral. Lineage: Eukaryota; Dinophyceae; Oxyrrhinales; Oxyrrhinaceae.